RNAcentral lists this long non-coding RNA (538 nucleotides) under Gossypium raimondii (Peruvian cotton). RNAcentral's name for it is "long non-coding RNA (GRAI_LNC011254)". The record is from RNAcentral. Lineage: Eukaryota; Viridiplantae; Streptophyta; Magnoliopsida; Malvales; Malvaceae.
CCAUUACAAAACAAAAAUAAACUAAACCUAGGCCCAAGCCCUAACAGCCCACUAACUAAAUUUCAGCAGAAACCCUAAGCAAGAAACCACCAGCCGCCGCAACUACCGUGCACCCCUCUUUGCGCGCCUCCGUCUGCGCACCACCCCUCCGUAAAUGCCGCUCCGCACGCCUCCACGUACCUGCGAGAAAAGCGGAUCCAACAUCAGUAUUCAUCGCAACAAUAACAAGAAAAUAUGGAUUUUUUUUGAUUUUAUUUGAUAUUUGGAUGUUUUAUUUCGGUUAUAUAAACCGAUUAUAAAAAUGUAAAAGGGAAGAGAUUUUCGGUGAAAAAAAGGGGGGGAGAAAAUAUUGUAUUGGAAAAAUACUAAAUCAAAAGGAAAAAGAAUUUUUGAAGGUAUUUUCGGGGAUUUUUCUUAUUUUUUUAUUUUUGUUCUUUAUUUUAAAACUAAACGAAAGGAAAAGGAAAAGGGGUGCUCACCUGCGUUGACCUGCCCGAAUCGGAGCCGGAGUGAGGCGUCUUGCUCGCUGAAACUCGGG